AACGAACGCUGGCGGCAUGCCUAACACAUGCAAGUCGAACGAGACCUUCGGGUCUAGUGGCGCACGGGUGCGUAACGCGUGGGAACCUGCCCUUAGGUUCGGAAUAACUCCCCGAAAGGGGUGCUAAUACCGGAUAAUGUCUUCGGACCAAAGAUUUAUCGCCUUUGGAUGGGCCCGCGUUGGAUUAGCUAGUUGGUAGGGUAAAAGCCUACCAAGGCGACGAUCCAUAGCUGGUCUGAGAGGAUGAUCAGCCACACUGGGACUGAGACACGGCCCAGACGCCUACGGGAGGCAGCAGUGGGGAAUAUUGGACAAUGGGCGAAAGCCUGAUCCAGCAAUGCCGCGUGAGUGAUGAAGGCCUUAGGGUUGUAAAGCUCUUUUACCCGGGAUGAUAAUGACAGUACCGGGAGAAUAAGCACCGGCUAACUCCGUG
This 433-nucleotide ribosomal RNA is filed under the name uncultured bacterium. RNAcentral's name for it is "partial 16S ribosomal RNA". It matches the Rfam family "Bacterial small subunit ribosomal RNA", at positions 29 to 507 of the family's 1533-position model. The record is from RNAcentral.